This 254-nucleotide ribosomal RNA is filed under the name uncultured bacterium. RNAcentral's name for it is "partial 16S ribosomal RNA". It matches the Rfam family "Bacterial small subunit ribosomal RNA", at positions 524 to 776 of the family's 1533-position model. The record is from RNAcentral.
UACGGGGGGAGCAAGCGUUGUUCGGAUUUACUGGGCGUAAAGGGCGCGUAGGCGGCCACCGCAAGUCGGUUGUGAAAUCUCUGGGCUUAACCCAGAAAGGUCAACCGAUACUGCGGGGCUAGAGUGCAGAAGGGGCAACUGGAAUUCUCGGUGUAGCGGUGAAAUGCGUAGAUAUCGAGAGGAACACCUGCGGCGAAGGCGGGUUGCUGGGCUGACACUGACGCUGAUGCGCGAAAGCGUGGGGAGCGAACAGG